Eufriesea mexicana is the source of this 1017-nucleotide long non-coding RNA. RefSeq lists it as uncharacterized. NCBI's taxonomy places the organism in Eukaryota, Metazoa, Arthropoda, Insecta, Hymenoptera, Apidae. The transcript is spliced from 3 exons. The record is from RefSeq and is a predicted model, not a curated record.
GUCUGAUCUAAACGUACCGUGACGAAAUUAGUUUCGAAAACGACGUUACCGACACGGGAAUUGGUGCGGAGACGGUGUCGCGUCUAUUUAUACACGAGUAUUUACCGACUGGUUCGUGGCACGCAAAUUUUCGAGACGAGCACAAAGGAGGCAUAGUAAACGGUUGCUAAUUUCACGCGAACGCACUUUAGACCCACGCAGGCGCAGGCGCACACGCCACUCAAUUCGCCUCGGUUUAUUUCGAUCACACUGACAGCCAUUGUUCUUCGAAAAUUUCCGACCGAGACAGCCGGUCUAUCAAGACGUGAAACAGCAACAAGGAAACGGUUUUCAUGCCUGCAUGUCGCCUAUUGAUGACUAGCUCCUAUUUCUCUUACGAUGUUCGGAUGAUAACCUCUAUACGGUCGCUGCGGUCUGUCGAUACAUUAUACACUGAGAUGAACUAUUUCAAUUUCGAACCAAACUAUGAAUUAGAACCCGUCCGAAAUGCAUUGAUUCCGUAGCUAUUGGCGUGACACCAUAUUUGUGAGAUGCAAUUUUUCACCCGUAAAAACCAGAUUAUCGCUUACAUAUGCGUGCUAUUUUAUGGCAAAUUUAUCAGCAAUCGAAGUUCGUUUCCAAUGCAGUCUUUCUCCGAGGGAUAAAAAGUUUUAUCAUAGACCAAGGAACGUAUACUUAGAAUUCUUUGUUACCAGUAUCUACAACAGUUUCGUGCAAGGCCUGCAAGUCACAACGUAGAUGGUCUGUAAUGAUUGAAGUUUGCGGGGUUCACUUCCUGUGAGAUUAUGAUUUCAGCUAUCUGUGAUCCGUGCCGCUAUUGGAAGCAAGAAUCCGUUUCUACCCUAACGUUUCUCUGUUACCUAUAGCUCACCUAUAAACGUGCCGUAACUACAUUUCCUGGCAACAUCGUUCCUAACGUUUUUCAGAAAACGCAAUUACGAAAUUUCGAAAUGGCGAAACAGACGUUUUACAGAAUCACAUAUCCCAACUACCGUUGGACACAGAGUAAAGUUAAAU